GGACCCUUACUGUUGAGUCUAAACAAAUGCUCCAGGACUUGCAACUUGCUGGUCUCCGCGUGGGCCCGGGGCCCCCACAGGAACUCGUGGCGAGCGGGAUCGCUGUCGGCCACCUGCCGGUACUCCAGGACGAUGACACCCAGAAGUAUCACCAGGAGGCCGUUCUUGGGCAUGCUCCGCUCAUCACCCUGCAUCCCAUCACAGGUGAGGCCCAGGGUGGGGACCAGGAUGUACAAGUGCUCCUUGGGGUCCACCUCCUUCACAUCCACCCCAAAGACCAGCUGCAUGCACUCAGAGGCCUGGCUGAAGACCACAGGGAAGUGGUGCUGGUAUGCUCUGAGGAUACUCAGCAUUUCUGCCCUGGUGGUCGGCUGCUUCCUGCGAUACUUGAGGAGCAGGAAGCUCACCAGGUCAGCCAUCAUUGAAAGCUCUGCCCCUUGGCGCAGGGACUCGGCACCGGCAGAGUAGGAAGAGGAGACGGAGGAGGAGGAGGAGGAGGACGAGGAGGACCGGGGGGAUGCGGCCCCCUCCUGCUCAGCCUCCAGCUGCUGCACAUCCACCAGGCCCUGGGCGUCUCUUGGGUCCUGAAGGUCUUCCACAGCCUGGCGGAGCUCACUCAUCUGAACCAGGGACAUAAUGACAGGUGUUGGCAGCUGACAGGAGUCUGGGCCGGGGUGACAGGUGGGGACCCAGUGGCCUUGUGGGAGGACAAGCUUAUCGACCUUCCCAGGGUUUCUAGGGCUGAACGAGGUUUCCUUUGGUGUCCCAUCUUUGUUGUGGGCGUGCGGGUCCCCUCACCCUUCCCUCGGGCCCUCACCUUGACUCCUGGGAGGACCCGGGACUCUUCUCUCUGUUGCCAAGGCGUGGUUCCUUCAGAUGAUCUGACCCGUCCUCUCACACCAAGGUCCUCACCUCCCUGAAAGGCGGGAGAGAAAGGAGAGGAGGCCCCUUUCCUGCUGUGAUUCAGGACAAGGAUACCUCUGGUCAUUGACUUUGGUUUCUGGGCACAGUUCCUUGUUCACAGCUCCCAAAGCCCUUGGGAUGUCCUCAGUGUUGAGAGUGAUGAAUGUGCUUUUUUUGUUUUUUAUGUGAAUGAGAUGUGUUUGCAAAGCACCUAAAAUGGGGCUGGUUGCCAGAAGAGCCAAUCAUGUGAUUAAAAGUUUGGAUCUUUUGGCCCCUCCCCAGCACCACCAGGGAGGGGAGAAAGGCUGGA
This is a long non-coding RNA of Camelus dromedarius (Arabian camel), 1213 nucleotides long. RefSeq lists it as uncharacterized. The transcript is spliced from 2 exons. The record is from RefSeq and is a predicted model, not a curated record. Lineage: Eukaryota; Metazoa; Chordata; Mammalia; Artiodactyla; Camelidae.